AGUGAACGCUGGCGGUAGGCCUAACACAUGCAAGUCGAACGGCAGCACAGUAAGAGCUUGCUCUUACGGGUGGCGAGUGGCGGACGGGUGAGGAAUACAUCGGAAUCUACUUUUUCGUGGGGGAUAACGUAGGGAAACUUACGCUAAUACCGCAUACGACCUACGGGUGAAAGCAGGGGAUCUUCGGACCUUGCGCGAUUGAAUGAGCCGAUGUCGGAUUAGCUAGUUGGCGGGGUAAAGGCCCACCAAGGCGACGAUCCGUAGCUGGUCUGAGAGGAUGAUCAGCCACACUGGAACUGAGACACGGUCCAGACUCCUACGGGAGGCAGCAGUGGGGAAUAUUGGACAAUGGGCGCAAGCCUGAUCCAGCCAUACCGCGUGGGUGAAGAAGGCCUUCGGGUUGUAAAGCCCUUUUGUUGGGAAAGAAAAGCAGCAGGCUAAUACCCCGCUGUUCUGACGGUACCCAAAGAGUAAGCACCGGCUAACUUCGUG
Molecule: ribosomal RNA, 492 nt
Filed under: uncultured bacterium
Lineage: Bacteria
Description: partial 16S ribosomal RNA
Rfam family: Bacterial small subunit ribosomal RNA
Source: RNAcentral